This 76-nucleotide transfer RNA is filed under the name Candidatus Megaera endosymbiont of Hartmannula sinica. RNAcentral's name for it is "tRNA-Trp". It matches the Rfam family "tRNA". Rfam says of the family: Transfer RNA (tRNA) molecules are approximately 80 nucleotides in length. Their secondary structure includes four short double-helical elements and three loops (D, anti-codon, and T loops). The record is from RNAcentral. Lineage: Bacteria; Pseudomonadati; Pseudomonadota; Alphaproteobacteria; Rickettsiales; Rickettsiaceae.
AGGAGUGUAGCUCAGAUGGUAGAGCGUCGGUCUCCAAAACCGAAAGUCGCGGGUUCGACCCCUGUCACUCCUGCCA